Molecule: ribosomal RNA, 467 nt
Filed under: uncultured bacterium
Lineage: Bacteria
Description: bacterial SSU rRNA
Rfam family: Bacterial small subunit ribosomal RNA
Source: RNAcentral
GACGAACGCUGGCGGCGCGCCUAACGCAUGCAAGUCGAACGGACGAGAAGGAGCUUGCUCCUUCAAGUUAGUGGCGGACGGGUGAGUAACACGUGAGCAACUGCCCUUCAGAGGGGGACAACAGUUAGAAGUGACUGCUAAUACCGCAUAACAUGUUUUUAUCGCAUGGUAGAAACAUCAAAGAUUUAUCGCUGAAGGAUGGACUCGCGUCUGAUUAGAUAGUUGGUGAGGUAACGGCUCACCAAGUCGACGAUCAGUAGCCGAACUGAGAGGUUGAUCGGCCACAUUGGGACUGAGACACGGCCCAGACUCCUACGGGAGGCAGCAGGUGGGGGAUAUUGCACAAUGGGGGAAACCCUGAUGCAGCAACGCCGCGUGAAGGAAGAAGGUCUUCGGAUUGUAAACUUUUGUCUUUAGGGAAGAAGAAAGUGACGGUACCUAAGGAGGAAGCCACGGCUAACUACGUG